RNAcentral lists this ribosomal RNA (495 nucleotides) under uncultured bacterium. RNAcentral describes it as "partial 16S ribosomal RNA". It matches the Rfam family "Bacterial small subunit ribosomal RNA", at positions 28 to 507 of the family's 1533-position model. The record is from RNAcentral.
GACGAACGCUGGCGGCGUGCCUAAUACAUGCAAGUAGAACGCUGAAGGAGGAGCUUGCUCUUCUGGAUGAGUUGCGAACGGGUGAGUAACGCGUAGGUAACCUGCCUGGUAGCGGGGGAUAACUAUUGGAAACGAUAGCUAAUACCGCAUAACAGUAGAUGUUGCAUGACAUUUGCUUAAAAGGUGCAAUUGCACCACUACCAGAUGGACCUGCGUUGUAUUAGCUAGUUGGUGGGGUAACGGCUCACCAAGGCGACGAUACAUAGCCGACCUGAGAGGGUGAUCGGCCACACUGGGACUGAGACACGGCCCAGACUCCUACGGGAGGCAGCAGUAGGGAAUCUUCGGCAAUGGACGGAAGUCUGACCGAGCAACGCCGCGUGAGUGAAGAAGGGUUUCGGAUCGUAAAGCUCUGUUGUAAGAGAAGAACGAGUGUGAGAGUGGAAAGUUCACACUGUGACGGUAUCUUAACAGAAAGGGACGGCUAACUACGUG